RNAcentral lists this ribosomal RNA (253 nucleotides) under uncultured bacterium. RNAcentral describes it as "partial 16S ribosomal RNA". It matches the Rfam family "Bacterial small subunit ribosomal RNA", at positions 524 to 776 of the family's 1533-position model. The record is from RNAcentral.
UACGGAGGGUGCAAGCGUUAUCCGGAUUCACUGGGCUUACAGGGUGCGUAGGCGGCUUGUCAAGUAGGGUGUGAAAGCCCCCGGCUCGACCGGGGAAUUGCGCCCUAAACUGGCGAGCUAGAGUGAGAUAGGGGUGUGUGGAACUUCCGGUGGAGCGGUGAAAUGUGUUGAUAUCGGAAGGAACGCCGGUGGCGAAAGCGACACACUGGAUCUUGUCUGACGCUGAGGCACGAAAGCCAGGGGAGCGAACGGG